UACGAAGGGGGCUAGCGUUGCUCGGAAUCACUGGGCGUAAAGCGCACGUAGGCGGAUUGCUAAGUCAGGGGUGAAAUCCUGGAGCUCAACUCCAGAACUGCCUUUGAUACUGGCGGUCUCGAGUCCGGGAGAGGUGAGUGGAACUGCGAGUGUAGAGGUGAAAUUCGUAGAUAUUCGCAAGAACACCAGUGGCGAAGGCGGCUCACUGGCCCGGUACUGACGCUGAGGUGCGAAAGCGUGAGGAGCGAACAGG
This 253-nucleotide ribosomal RNA is filed under the name uncultured bacterium. RNAcentral describes it as "partial 16S ribosomal RNA". It matches the Rfam family "Bacterial small subunit ribosomal RNA", at positions 524 to 776 of the family's 1533-position model. The record is from RNAcentral.